Molecule: ribosomal RNA, 429 nt
Filed under: Chloroflexota bacterium
Lineage: Bacteria; Bacillati; Chloroflexota
Description: Chloroflexi bacterium partial 16S ribosomal RNA
Rfam family: Bacterial small subunit ribosomal RNA
Source: RNAcentral
UGGGGAAUAUUGCACAAUGGGCGCAAGCCUGAUGCAGCCAUGCCGCGUGUAUGAAGAAGGCCUUCGGGUUGUAAAGUACUUUCAGUCGGGAGGAAGGUGGUAAGGUUAAUAACCUUGGCAAUUGACGUUACCGACAGAAGAAGCACCGGCUAACUCCGUGCCAGCAGCCGCGGUAAUACGGAGGGUGCAAGCGUUAAUCGGAAUUACUGGGCGUAAAGCGCACGCAGGCGGUUGAUUGAGUCAGAUGUGAAAUCCCCGGGCUUAACCUGGGAACUGCAACUGAUACUGGCAAGCUUGAGUCUCGUAGAGGGGGGUAGGAUUCCAGGUGUAGCGGUGAAAUGCGUAGAGAUCUGGGGGAAUACCGGUGGCGAAGGCGGCCCCCUGGACGAAGACUGACGCUCAGGUGCGAAAGCGUGGGGAGCAAACAGG